CCUACGGGGAGCAGCAGUGAGGAAUAUUGGUCAAUGGACGAGAGUCUGAACCAGCCAAGUAGCGUGAAGGAUGACUGCCCUAUGGGUUGUAAACUUCUUUUAUAUGGGAAUAAAAUGUUCCACGUGUGGGAUUUUGUAUGUACCAUGUGAAUAAGGAUCGGCUAACUCCGUGCCAGCAGCCGCGGUAAUACGGAGGAUCCGAGCGUUAUCCGGAUUUAUUGGGUUUAAAGGGAGCGUAGGUGGAUUGUUAAGUCAGUUGUGAAAGUUUGCGGCUCAACCGUAAAAUUGCAGUUGAAACUGGCAGUCUUGAGUACAGUAGAGGUGGGCGGAAUUCGUGGUGUAGCGGUGAAAUGCUUAGAUAUCACGAAGAACUCCGAUUGCGAAGGCAGUUCACUGGACUGCAACUGACACUGAGGCUCGAAAGUGUGGGUAUCAAACAGGAUUAGAUACCCUUGUAGUC
Molecule: ribosomal RNA, 460 nt
Filed under: uncultured bacterium
Lineage: Bacteria
Description: partial 16S ribosomal RNA
Rfam family: Bacterial small subunit ribosomal RNA
Source: RNAcentral